This is a non-coding RNA of Paramuricea clavata, 468 nucleotides long. The record is from the annotation of a GenBank genome assembly. NCBI's taxonomy places the organism in Eukaryota, Metazoa, Cnidaria, Anthozoa, Malacalcyonacea, Plexauridae.
CGCUCUCACACUCCUCACAAGAGAUAUCAAUUCAAUACCAAGACAAAGUUUCAUGUUUUAUCACUUUUAUGACAGCCAUGUUUAAUAAAAACUAAAAAGUGUUCGUAAUCCUAUUCCAGUAUUCCUUCAACAAAACAAGAUUACUAACAAUCAAAUUUUCCAGUGAACAAAAACUAAAGAACGUAACAGAUUGUCAAAUGCAAUUAUGCAAUAUAAAUACAAUUAUAUAACACAGUGCAUUAAAACGCGAUGUCUACAUAUCGUUUUUGUUUAAAAAUAGAAUUGCGUCGACAACAGCUGGCUUAAGCGAGGCACGUUUCUUUCAGACGACCAGUCCAGCCUUGCUGAAAAUCUCUUCGCUUGGCACGGACGUCGGCGGAGCCACUAAUACUCUAGCGGCAAGGUUCCGUAUGAAAGGGUAUCGCUUUUCGUUUUCUUUCCACCACAUUAACGGAUCUUCCGUCAAAC